AUCACAUUCAAUAAAAGGUGGCGGUAAACUAGCACUUAAAGGAAAUAACCUUCAGAGGUCUUCUACCUGUAGCUCAUAAGAUGGAAAAAACAAUUGUGUCAGAAAGGAAACGCCUUGAAACAUAAAAGAGGGGAGUCAUUGGCGGUAAGCAAUAGAAACAAAAAAGAAAGUGUCUUUUGCCUGUCUACUAGUGUUUCACACUCCAGCGCAGAUACGGGACUGUUUGUUCAGACACACCCCGACCCUCCACACCAAGGAAGAAACAAAUACAUGCAUAUAUG
This 281-nucleotide unclassified non-coding RNA is filed under the name Hevea brasiliensis (rubber tree). Lineage: Eukaryota; Viridiplantae; Streptophyta; Magnoliopsida; Malpighiales; Euphorbiaceae. The record is from RNAcentral.